AUUGAACGCUGGCGGCAUGCUUUACACAUGCAAGUCGAACGGCAGCGCGGGCUUCGGCCUGGCGGCGAGUGGCGAACGGGUGAGUAAUGCAUCGGAACGUGCCCAGUAGUGGGGGAUAGCCCGGCGAAAGCCGGAUUAAUACCGCAUACGACCUGAGGGUGAAAGCGGGGGACCGAAAGGCCUCGCGCUAUUGGAGCGGCCGAUGUCGGAUUAGCUAGUUGGUGGGGUAAAGGCUUACCAAGGCGACGAUCCGUAGCUGGUCUGAGAGGACGACCAGCCACACUGGGACUGAGACACGGCCCAGACUCCUACGGGAGGCAGCAGUGGGGAAUUUUGGACAAUGGGGGCAACCCUGAUCCAGCCAUGCCGCGUGCGGGAAGAAAGCCUUCGGGUUGUAAACCGCUUUUGUUCGGGAAGAAAUCCUCUGGGCUAAUACCCCGGGGGGAUGACGGUACCGGAAGAAUAAGCACCGGCUAACUACGUG
This 484-nucleotide ribosomal RNA is filed under the name uncultured bacterium. Its description in RNAcentral is "partial 16S ribosomal RNA". It matches the Rfam family "Bacterial small subunit ribosomal RNA", at positions 29 to 507 of the family's 1533-position model. The record is from RNAcentral.